GACGAACGCUGGCGGCGUGCCUAAUACAUGCAAGUUGAGCGAUGAAGAUUGGUGCUUGCACCAAUUUGAAGAGCAGCGAACGGGUGAGUAACGCGUGGGGCAUCUGCCUUUGAGCGGGGGACAACAUUUGGAAACGAAUGCUAAUACCGCAUAACAACUUUAAACAUAAGUUUUAUGUUUGAAAGAUGCAAUUGCACCACUCAAAGAUGAUCCCGCGUUGUAUUAGCUAGUUGGUGAGGUAAAGGCUCAUCAAGGCGAUGAUACAUAGCCGACCUGAGAGGGUGGUCGGCCACAUUGGGACUGAGACACGGCCCAAACUCCUACAGGAGGCAGCAGUAGGGAAUCUUCGGCAAGGGGCGAAAGUCUGACCGAGCAACGCCGCGGGAGUGAAGAGGGUUGUCGGAUCGUAAAACUCUGUUGGUAGAGAAGAACGUUGGUGAGAGUGGAAAGCUCAUCAAGUGACGGUAACUACCCAGAAAGGGACGGCUAACUACGUG
This 497-nucleotide ribosomal RNA is filed under the name uncultured bacterium. RNAcentral describes it as "partial 16S ribosomal RNA". It matches the Rfam family "Bacterial small subunit ribosomal RNA", at positions 28 to 507 of the family's 1533-position model. The record is from RNAcentral.